CAGUAGCCGCGGGAAUACGGAGGGUGCGAGCGUUAAUCGGAAUUACUGGGCGUAAAGCGUGCGCGGGCGGUUGUGUAAGACAGGUGUGAAAUCCCCGGGCUUAACCUGGGAACUGCGCUUGUGACUGCACAGCUAGAGUACGGCAGAGGGGGGUGGAAUUCCACGUGUAGCAGUGAAAUGCGUAGAGAUGUGGAGGAACACCGAUGGCGAAGGCAGCCCCCUGGGCCAAUACUGACGCUCAUGCACGAAAGCGUGGGGGGCAAACAGGAUUAGAUACCCCUGUAGUCCCUGUCUCUUAUAC
Molecule: ribosomal RNA, 301 nt
Filed under: uncultured bacterium
Lineage: Bacteria
Description: partial 16S ribosomal RNA
Rfam family: Bacterial small subunit ribosomal RNA
Source: RNAcentral